ACUCUCUACCAGUUUUCCUCUAAAUGUCAUAAAAUUUUGCGUUGAUAAGAAGUUUGUAAAACGAAUAAAAACGCGAAAGCUUUGAUUUUGUAAUACAAAAGUAAAGUAAAGUGGGACCGAUACGCCCCAUGAAGCCAGUAGCAAAUGAUCGAUCUUCCGGCUUGAAUUUUCGCAAGAGAUGCGUUAACCCAGUCUUAUAUACAUAUCAGCGAGAUUAACUGGCCAGAAUGCAUAUAUGUUAAUAUUAUGGAGAGUUGUUUUUCGAAAAUUUGACGAAUGUAAAUUCACUUAUGGACAAAAUUUUUGAUGCCAUCAGACAGGAUAUCAAGGAUAUGAGAUCCGCCCCUGGUGAUCCAAUGAUCGGAAGAGUAGAAAGCAAUCAUCAACGUAACUUUGGUAAAGAAGGGGUUCGAAGUUGGAGGGACAGUUGUGAAGCCAUGAAUUCUCAUUGAAGGCCAUAAAUAUGUUCGCAAAUAGUGGGCCUAGGAGGCUGCCCAUAGCCACACCAUCAAUCUGUUGAUAAACUUGGCCGUUAAAGAAGAAAUGACAGUUUUUGACGGAGAGGGAGAGAAGUUGAGUGAAUUGUGAACGGUCAAGGCCUUGAAAAAACGUGUUAUUCUCUGGCCACGAUUUUAAAUAAAGUCAGGAUUUCCUAGGUAUGCUGUACAUUAACUUUCCGAGUAAUAAAUUAUGUAAUUUUGUUGCUGUGAUGCUGUAUGCAUUGUUGGUGUAGAGUUGAAAUUUUUUGUUUGCUUAUUUUAUUUUUGUUUCAAUGUGAAUAUAUACUCAAGUCUAA
This is a long non-coding RNA of Xenia sp. Carnegie-2017, 796 nucleotides long. RefSeq lists it as uncharacterized. The transcript is spliced from 2 exons. The record is from RefSeq and is a predicted model, not a curated record. Lineage: Eukaryota; Metazoa; Cnidaria; Anthozoa; Malacalcyonacea; Xeniidae.